RNAcentral lists this ribosomal RNA (425 nucleotides) under uncultured bacterium. RNAcentral's name for it is "partial 16S ribosomal RNA". It matches the Rfam family "Bacterial small subunit ribosomal RNA", at positions 354 to 796 of the family's 1533-position model. The record is from RNAcentral.
GUGAGGAAUAUUGGACAAUGGGGGAAACCCUGAUCCAGCCAUGCCGCGUGAGUGAUGAAGGCCUUCGGGUUGUAAAGCUCUUUCAGUGGGGACGAUAAUGACGGUACCCACAGAAGAAGCCCCGGCUAACUUCGUGCCAGCAGCCGCGGUAAUACGAAGGGGGCUAGCGUUGUUCGGAUUUACUGGGCGUAAAGCGCACGUAGGCGGAUCGUUAAGUCGAGGGUGAAAUCCUGGAGCUCAACUCCAGAACUGCCUUCGAUACUGGCGAUCUUGAGUCCGGAAGAGGUGAGUGGAACUCCUAGUGUAGAGGUGGAAUUCGUAGAUAUUAGGAAGAACACCAGUGGCGAAGGCGGCUCACUGGUCCGGUACUGACGCUGAGGUGCGAAAGCGUGGGGAGCAAACAGGAUUAGAAACCCGUGUAGUCC